This is a non-coding RNA of Cyanistes caeruleus (blue tit), 295 nucleotides long. The record is from RefSeq and is a predicted model, not a curated record. NCBI's taxonomy places the organism in Eukaryota, Metazoa, Chordata, Aves, Passeriformes, Paridae.
GUGCUCAUGUUUUCAGAGCUUGGAGGAAUCCUACAUUUUUUUUUCAGGUCUGGAAGAGGACGAAAGUUAAGUGGAGACCAAAUAACUUUGCCAACCACAGUGGAUUAUUCAUCCGUUCCUAAGCAGCCUGAAGUAGAAGACUGGUCUUCAUGGGAUGAAGAUGCACCUACAAGUGUGAAGAUUGAAGGUGGCAAUGGUAAUGUGGCUGCUCAGCAAAAUUCUUUGGAACAAAUGGAACCUGAUUAUUUCAAAGAUAUGACACCAACUAUAAGAAAAACUCAAAAAGUUAGUAUUA